GAAAUGCGAUACGUAGUGUGAAUUGCAGAAUUCCGUGAACCAUCGAAUCUUUGAACGCAUAUUGCGCUCGAGCCCUCGGGCAAGAGCAUGUCUGCCUCAGCGUCGGUUUACACCCUCACCCCUCCCACUUUUGUUGGGUGUGUUGGCUUCUAUGCCAGCCAUAGGGGUGGAUCUGGCUUCCCCAAUUCGCUGUAGUGGAUUGGGUUGGCUGAAGUAUAGAGGCUUAAGCAAGGACCCGAUAUGGGCUUCAACUGGAUAGGUAGCACCGGCUUUCGCCGACUACACGAAGUUGUUGCUUGUGGAUCUUGCUAGAGGCCAAGCAGGAACUUGCCUUUGGCAUGUCUAAACUUUCGACCUGAGCUCAGGCAAGGCUACCCGCUGAACUUAAGC
Molecule: unclassified non-coding RNA, 390 nt
Filed under: plant metagenome
Description: partial contains 5.8S ribosomal RNA, internal transcribed spacer 2, and large subunit ribosomal RNA
Rfam family: 5.8S ribosomal RNA (bases 1-105)
Source: RNAcentral